UGAGUAAGCUAUGCGGUAGCAUGAACGCUUUAGUUUAUGAGGAAAGUCCGGGCAUCACAGGACAGGAUAGCUGUUAACGGCAGCCGGGGGCGACCCUAGGGCUAGUGCAACAGAGAUAUACCGCCCUGCUUUUGCAGGGUAAGGGUGGAAAGGUGAGGUAAGAGCUCACCAGAGUACAGGAGACUGUGCUGCUAUGUAAACCCUAUCCGGUGCAACGUCUAUUGGUGCAGUUCAUCAUAACACCUGUCCGGUGGAUGGACUGUAAUGACGGCUUGAAGUCUGCGGCGACGCAGAUUCUAGAUAAAUUACCGCACACGACAGAACCCGGCUUAUCGGCUUACUCAUUAU
RNAcentral lists this RNase P RNA (348 nucleotides) under Oscillospiraceae bacterium. RNAcentral describes it as "RNase P RNA component class A". It matches the Rfam family "Bacterial RNase P class A". From Rfam's summary of the family: Ribonuclease P (RNase P) is a ubiquitous endoribonuclease, found in archaea, bacteria and eukarya as well as chloroplasts and mitochondria. Its best characterised activity is the generation of mature 5'-ends of tRNAs by cleaving the 5'-leader elements of precursor-tRNAs. Lineage: Bacteria; Bacillati; Bacillota; Clostridia; Eubacteriales; Oscillospiraceae. The record is from RNAcentral.